Molecule: ribosomal RNA, 393 nt
Filed under: uncultured bacterium
Lineage: Bacteria
Description: partial 16S ribosomal RNA
Rfam family: Bacterial small subunit ribosomal RNA
Source: RNAcentral
CCUACGGGAGGCAGCAGUGAGGAAUAUUGGUCAAUGGGCGGGAGCCUGAACCAGCCAAGUCGCGUGAAGGAAGAAGGUACUUAGUAUUGUAAACUUCUUUUGUCGAGGAACAAAGGCGGAGACGCGUCCCCGUUUGCGUGUACCUGAAGAAUAAGCAUCGGCUAACUCCGUGCCAGCAGCCGCGGUAAUACGGAGGAUGCGAGCGUUAUCCGGAUUUAUUGGGUUUAAAGGGAGCGCAGGCGGGAGAUUAAGUCAGCGGUAAAAUGUCGGGGCUCAACCCCGGACGGCCGUUGAAACUGGUUUUCUAGAGUUGGAUAGAGGUAUGCGGAAUUCGUGGUGUAGCGGUGAAAUGCAUAGAUAUCACGAAGAACUCCGAUUGCGAAGGCAGCAUAC